GCAGCGGCGCAGGAGCCGCGGGGUCUGCCGGGAGCUGGAGUUCCUUCCGCCCGCCCGCGCGGACGCGCCGACGCACAUCCUGUGCGCCGGAAGGGCCGUCGUCACUCCGGGUGCGCGGGGCCCGUUCCGGGUUCGGCAGCCGUCACCUCCUCCCAGGCCCGAGAGAAGGGGACGGACCUCUUUUGGCUCCAGGGCCGUCUGCCGACUGCCCUUGGGUCCUGUCACCCUGGGCAGAGUGGACCAAAUCGACCGUUGGGAUGGCCGCCAGGGUCCGGACAGCUUCCAUCUGGGUGAGCAGUUUUCUUUCAUUCCUGAACUGUCCCCCUUCCAGGAUCUGACCUUGCCUUGAGUUCUCCCAAGUCACCGGGCC
Molecule: long non-coding RNA, 370 nt
Filed under: Dasypus novemcinctus (nine-banded armadillo)
Lineage: Eukaryota; Metazoa; Chordata; Mammalia; Cingulata; Dasypodidae
Description: lncRNA (ENSDNOG00000050588.1)
Source: RNAcentral